UACGGAGUGUGCUAGCGUUGUUCGGAAUUACUGGGCGUAAAGCGCGUGUAGGCGGCUUGGUAAGUCGGAUGUGAAAUCCCGGGGCUCAACCCCGGAACUGCAUUCGAAACUGCCUGGCUUGAGUUCGGGAGGGGGUGGCGGAAUUCCGAGUGUAGAGGUGGAAUUCGUAGAUAUUCGGAGGAACACCCGUGGCGAAGGCGGCCACCUGGACCGAUACUGACGCUGAGACGCGAAAGCGUGGGGAGCAAACAGGAUUAGAUACCCUGGUAGUCCACGCUGUAAACGGUGGACACUAGGUGCUGUGGGUAUUCAACCCCCGCAGUGCCGAAGCUAACGCAUUAAGUGUCCCGCCUGGGAAGUACGGCCGCAAGGCUAAA
This 377-nucleotide ribosomal RNA is filed under the name uncultured bacterium. RNAcentral's name for it is "bacterial SSU rRNA". It matches the Rfam family "Bacterial small subunit ribosomal RNA", at positions 524 to 898 of the family's 1533-position model. The record is from RNAcentral.